Molecule: transfer RNA, 65 nt
Filed under: Katharina tunicata (black chiton)
Lineage: Eukaryota; Metazoa; Mollusca; Polyplacophora; Chitonida; Mopaliidae
Description: tRNA-Ala
Source: RNAcentral
GGAACUAUACUUUAAGUAAAAGGUUUAAUUUGCAUUUAAAAAAUAGGGCCAAGCCCUUUGUUCCA